This 763-nucleotide long non-coding RNA is filed under the name Vulpes vulpes (red fox). RNAcentral's name for it is "lncRNA (ENSVVUG00000017730.1)". The record is from RNAcentral. Lineage: Eukaryota; Metazoa; Chordata; Mammalia; Carnivora; Canidae.
CCUGAGCCCACGGCCCGGCCCCUCUUACUCACCGUCCACCCGUCCUGUGUUCUCACACACGGUCACAGCGCAGGUAAAAAUAGGAUCACACGGACGCCCUGUGUCCCCGCCCCAGGGAGAACCCUAGACCCAUCCCAAAUUCCUUGGGCUCAGAUUCUCCAAGGGGGUGAGGUCCUUGCCUUGGGGGAAGAGACAUUUGAAGUUUCAUUGUCCCAGGGUCUGGGAAGCUUUUCCAUUCAAGCUUCAUUCCCAGGGCGCUUGCAGCCAGAUGGGCCGUGCUUGCUUCCACCUGCAUGAUGGCAGGGGUUAGAGGUUCAGAGAGAGGGAGGAGGCACCCCAGAGAUUGAGACUGGCAGAGACACUUGGGAAUCCCAGAAUCGCAAAUCCAGAGAGGUCCCUUGUCCCUGGUACUUGUCCUCCUGCCUUGACAGCUCUCCAUGAGUCCUCUCCUGAGAAGCCCCCGAGCCAAGGCUGGAUCCUCUGCAAAUACAGCUCAGGUUCUCCAACCGAGGCCCCCGGGCCCUCGAGGGGCGCAGGAGGGUGUCCCUUCACCCUCACCCGCAGUCAUUGUCCCACCGUCCAGAUUCACCGCGAUGACCAUCAGGGCUGUCUCCUUGCCCCUCCUGUGCUGACUUCAGCUGAGCUCUCCCCUCUAUUUCCUGCCCACGGACACAGCUACCCACCCACCCCAAACCCCAAUGCGCUCACCUACAGCUUGCCACAGUUCGCUUGUCCCGAAUUGCGAUUCUUCUGCUAUUCCCAA